CCAAAAUGGAGUUUAAGUGGUCAGAGACAGAGGGAGUUGACUUGCUUUGGAGGUGAACAUUCUGAGGCAUUAAAAAUGAACAAUAUAGGUGCCCUCCACCACCUGACUAAUCAGCAGAGCCGAGAAAGUCAGUGAACCCAGCAGCUCAGCUGUUGCUGGGAGGUUUAUGACCUCUGACCUCUAUACGAUUCAUCACUGAACCUGAACCCGGGCAGGAGGAUUCCUUACCAUCACCUGUGUCCUGCAAGGCUACUGUUCACACUCACACACCCCAUCACUUGACAGCAUGUGUGCGUGGAAUGAUGGAAUCCCUGCCUGACACACCAGUGGCAUGUUCGCACGGCUCUGGAGUGACAAUUAGGUGUCAAUCAAGGGCCUAAACCAACCAGGCAGCUGCCCUGGUCCGGUCCGGAGGUGUCUGAUGUCACCAGGCGUUGCUCUGAAUCUGCCAUGGCGUGUCCUCACAGGUCAUCAUCAGCCAAGGCCGCGGUUGGCCCAGGGGGAGGUCAAAGGUCUUCUGAGUGGUUCAAUGGGAUUAGCUCAAAUGCCAGGCCUAUCACAUGCCUCUUUUCAGAAUGUCAGUUGAGUUGUC
This is a long non-coding RNA of Esox lucius (northern pike), 592 nucleotides long. RefSeq lists it as uncharacterized. The record is from RefSeq and is a predicted model, not a curated record. The transcript has 3 exons. Lineage: Eukaryota; Metazoa; Chordata; Actinopteri; Esociformes; Esocidae.